Molecule: ribosomal RNA, 776 nt
Filed under: uncultured Parachlamydiaceae bacterium
Lineage: Bacteria; Pseudomonadati; Chlamydiota; Chlamydiia; Parachlamydiales; Parachlamydiaceae
Description: bacterial SSU rRNA
Rfam family: Bacterial small subunit ribosomal RNA
Source: RNAcentral
UAGGUGGUUUAUUAAGUCUUGGGUAAAAGCCGGAAGCUCAACUUCCGCGUUUGCUUAAGAUACUAAUAGACUAGAGGGGCAAAGAGGUGCUUGGAACCAACGGUGUAGUAGUGAAAUGCGUUGAUAUCGUUGGGAACACCGAAAGCGAAGGCAGAGCACUGGGUGCCACCUGACACUGCUAGGACGAAAGCGUGGGUAGCGAAUGGGAUUAGAUACCCUGGUAGUCCACGCCGUAAACGAUGUUCACUAGGUGUUGGGGGUAUUGACCCCCUCAGUGUCGAAGUUAACGCAUUAAGUAUACCGCCUGGGGAGUACGCUCGCAAGGGUGAAACUCAAAAGAAUUGACGGGGGCCCGCACAAGCAGUGGAGCAUGUGGUUUAAUUCGAUGCAACGCGAAGAACCUUACCUGGGCUCGAAAUGUAGAGGACGAUAUCAGAGAUGAUAUUUCUCGAAAGGGUCUCUAUAUAGGUGCUGCAUGGCUGUCGUCAGCUCGUGCCGUGAGGUGUUUGGUUAAGUCCAGCAACGAGCGCAACCCUUAUCGUUAGUUGCCAACGCGUAAUGGCGGGAACUCUAACGAGACUGCCUGGGUUAACCAGGAGGAAGGUGAGGAUGACGUCAAGUCCGCAUGGCCUUUAUGUCCAGGGCUACACACGUGCUACAAUGGUCGGUACAGAAGGCGGCGAAACCGCAAGGCGGAGCAAAUCCUUUAAAACCGAUCUCAGUUCAGAUUGUAGACUGCAACUCGUCUACAUGAAGUUGGAAUUGCUAGUAAUGGC